RNAcentral lists this ribosomal RNA (492 nucleotides) under uncultured bacterium. Its description in RNAcentral is "partial 16S ribosomal RNA". It matches the Rfam family "Bacterial small subunit ribosomal RNA", at positions 29 to 507 of the family's 1533-position model. The record is from RNAcentral.
AGUGAACGCUGGCGGUAGGCCUAACACAUGCAAGUCGAACGGCAGCACAGUAAGAGCUUGCUCUUACGGGUGGCGAGUGGCGGACGGGUGAGGAAUACAUCGGAAUCUACUUUUUCGUGGGGGAUAACGUAGGGAAACUUACGCUAAUACCGCAUACGACCUACGGGUGAAAGCAGGGGAUCUUCGGACCUUGCGCGAUUGAAUGAGCCGAUGUCGGAUUAGCUAGUUGGCGGGGUAAAGGCCCACCAAGGCGACGAUCCGUAGCUGGUCUGAGAGGGAGAUCAGCCACAUGGUAACUGAGACACGGUCCAGACUCCUACGGGAGGCCACAGUGGGGAAUAUUGGACGAUGGGCGCAAGCCUGAUCCAGCCAUACCGGGUGAGUGAAGAAGGCCUUCGGGUUGUAAAGCCCUUUUGUUGGGAAAGAAAAGCAGCAGGUUAAUACCCCGCUGUUCUGACGGUACCCAAAGAAUAAGCACCGGCUAACUUCGUG